ACAACAGAUCCUGUUUGAUUUUCCAUCCUUGCUCCGAGCAGGAAUUGUGCAUUGUGGAAGAAAUAUCCCGCUUUGGAUGGAGAAUAUUCCUGCCAAAUUUACAGGAGUUGCCUCUUCCUACGGGAAUAUUCUUCAGGAAAUCGCCUGAGAAGUUUCAGAGGGGUUGCCAAGGAGGAGCUCCAAAAGAGCAGGAAUGAUCUGGACAACCAAGAAUCCACCUGGGAAGCGCCACCGGCUCAUCCUUAUGGAAUCCAUCAAUCCCAGACCCUCUGGGAUCCGACUUCCCGACCGUUCCCACCUGGGAAUUGCUGACCCGGAAGAGUGGAUGGGAUUUAAAUCCCGUUUGCUAAACCUUGGGUUUGGAUUGUUUCGGUCCCGUCCUCCCCGUUGGGAUCCCUAAUUGAAUUACUCGCUCCGUGUGGAGUGCUAAUUAGGGAAGAGCUCCCAUUCCCUGGAUUUUGGCUGAGCCGGAGCAAACAGGAUUAGAAUUCUUCCUCCCACAGCUCGGCAGUGCAAAUUAAAUGUUUAUUCUUUCAUG
Cyanistes caeruleus (blue tit) is the source of this 538-nucleotide non-coding RNA. Lineage: Eukaryota; Metazoa; Chordata; Aves; Passeriformes; Paridae. The record is from RefSeq and is a predicted model, not a curated record.